RNAcentral lists this long non-coding RNA (1490 nucleotides) under Carassius auratus (goldfish). Its description in RNAcentral is "lncRNA (ENSCARG00000001929.1)". The record is from RNAcentral. Lineage: Eukaryota; Metazoa; Chordata; Actinopteri; Cypriniformes; Cyprinidae.
CAUAAUGCAACACGGUGACAUCGCGCUAUUGCGCCAUUUUGCGACUACUUGGCGGUCUUUUUUGGAUCGGCAGUCAUCAGUUUAUCAGGCGGCCUGCGGUGCACUUACAGCUCAAACUGUGGUGAGUAUAUCUGGAUAUUAGAUCAUGUAUAACGUAAAAGUGUUUAUGCCCCCCUAUAUAAUGAUAUUACUUGUAAUACGUAUCAAAUACAUCGAAGUGUUUUAGCUGCAAGACCGAUGGGUAGAGAUAAUUAAUUAAAAAAUGGUAACGUUAACUGUUAUAUCCCUGAAAUAAAAACGCCUGAGUCAUUAAAGCCACCUAACUGUUAGCGCUGAAAAACAGUUCAAAUAAAGUUUAAACUUGAGACAUAUGUUUUUAAUUAUUAUAUUAUUAUUAUUAUUGUUUCGAAUAAUUUAACGUUAAGCUUUUCAUCAUGAAAUUUGUUCGAUUCAUUGCUUUUUUUCUUCAAUUGUGCCAUGCGAAUUAGUUAUACAGGUGUUUAUAGUAACUUAAUAUUCUGCUGUACAAGUUUAAUUAAUUUUGGAUCUCCUUUAGCUGUCAGAUUUCUACACACGAUGUAAAGAGGCUCCUUUUUUAUUUAUUUUAAGCAAAAACAGCCUUUUCUUCUACAAGCUCUAGUUUUAUAUUUGGGGUUCAAGUUUAUCACUAAGGUAUAGUAUUUAAUAUAGUGUGAAUUUAGGGGCUAUACUAUAUGAGGUUAUAACUUUUGUUUUGUUUUUGCUUUGUUUUGCAUUUAUCUCUUUGCCAUGUUCUGAAGAAGCCAUAUUGUUGUAAGGUUGAUGAAAAAUGAGGUCAUGGCCUGUUUCAGUAUGAAGUGGGGGAAGGGGAAGCUUGCUUUCACCAAGAUCAAUCUGUACACUGUUGUCACAGAGAGUGUCCAGAAAACAUCAAAAGAGACGGGGCAAAUACUGCAGCAGCCACUGCCUUUUGUUUAAAAUAUGCCCCAGCAGAGCCGUCGCAAGGAGGGUGAGAGGCCCUGUGCAAAGUUGAUGUGCGAGGCCCUCUACAAUUUUGUGCGUGUGUGUGUGUGGUGGGGGAGGUUGCUGUAGCAAGGCAAGGCAAGUUUAUUUAUAUAGCAAAUUUCGAACAAAAUGUUAAUUCAAAGUGCUUUACAUAAAAUUAAGUAAAAUAAUCAUGAAGAACAAAACUAAAACAAGCAAUUUUAAAACUUUGGAAAUUAUUUAAAAAUUGACUUGAAUUUAAAACAGUUAGAAAUAGAAAAUGAUCUUACAGUUAAUACAUAAAAUACAGUGCAAUCAGGUCGGACAUCGCACAGUGCUCAUUCAAUAAAUGCACAGCUAAACAGAUGAGUUUUGAGUCUAGAUUUAAAUGUGACUAGUGUUUUAGCACAUCUAAUCUCUUCUGGAGGCUGAUUCUGGAAGCAAUGUAUUUUGGUCCUAGGUCUUUGAGUGACUUCUAGACAAGUAGAAGUACUUUAAUUAAAAUCAAUCUUAAAUGUAACUGGAAG